This 497-nucleotide ribosomal RNA is filed under the name uncultured bacterium. Its description in RNAcentral is "partial 16S ribosomal RNA". It matches the Rfam family "Bacterial small subunit ribosomal RNA", at positions 28 to 507 of the family's 1533-position model. The record is from RNAcentral.
GAUGAACGCUGGCGGCGUGCCUAAUACAUGCAAGUCGAGCGAACAGACGAGGAGCUUGCUCCUCUGACGUUAGCGGCGGACGGGUGAGUAACACGUGGAUAACCUACCUAUAAGACUGGGAUAACUUCGGGAAACCGGAGCUAAUACCGGAUAAUAUAUUGAACCGCAUGGUUCAAUAGUGAAAGACGGGUUUGCUGUCACUUAUAGAUGGAUCCGCGCCGCAUUAGCUAGUUGGUAAGGUAGCGGCUUACCAAGGCAACGAUGCGUAGCCGACCUGAGAGGGUGAUCGGCCACACUGGAACUGAGACACGGUCCAGACUCCUACGGGAGGCAGCAGUAGGGAAUCUUCCGCAAUGGGCGAAAGCCCGACGGAGCAACGCCGCGUGAGUGAUGAAGGUCUUCGGAUCGUAAAACUCUGUUAUUAGGGAAGAACAAAUGUGUAAGUAACUAUGCACGUCUUGACGGUACCUAAUCAGAAAGCCACGGCUAACUACGUG